UCAACAGAUAAAGAAGACUCAUGCGCCAGAACAAUAGCUCUAGGUGCAUCGGCGUCAACGACUUUGGCGUAGAGAGGCAAUUGCUUGCCAGCACGGUGGAUGCAGUCCUGAGUGAAGAUUGCCUUUGCCCUAGACAGGCGCAGUCGCGUUGCAAUUUCGCUCUUCGCAAAACUAUCGGCGAUGGAGACUACUACGCAACCCGCUUUGACAAUUCCCAGGUAAAUCGCGACGGAUUCGGCGGUCAUGGGC
This 249-nucleotide unclassified non-coding RNA is filed under the name plant metagenome. Its description in RNAcentral is "partial contains 5.8S ribosomal RNA, internal transcribed spacer 2, and large subunit ribosomal RNA". The record is from RNAcentral.